This 73-nucleotide transfer RNA is filed under the name Histiona aroides. RNAcentral's name for it is "tRNA-Gln". It matches the Rfam family "tRNA". Rfam says of the family: Transfer RNA (tRNA) molecules are approximately 80 nucleotides in length. Their secondary structure includes four short double-helical elements and three loops (D, anti-codon, and T loops). Lineage: Eukaryota; Jakobea; Jakobida; Histionidae. The record is from RNAcentral.
UGGGGCAUAGCCAAGCUGGUAAGGCAUCGGUCUUUGAAGCCGCCAUGCGUAGGUUCGAAUCCUACUGCCCCAA